RNAcentral lists this long non-coding RNA (245 nucleotides) under Setaria italica (foxtail millet). RNAcentral's name for it is "long non-coding RNA (SITA_LNC000341)". Lineage: Eukaryota; Viridiplantae; Streptophyta; Magnoliopsida; Poales; Poaceae. The record is from RNAcentral.
UGCUGUGGUCGGCUGGGCGCCUGUGGGGGAGCCAUCCUGUAUCUCUGUGCAGGUAGGCUGGGCGUCGGCAUUGGAGCCUUCCUCUUUCUCUCGGCUGCCAGAGCCUUCAUGCAAUCCUCUUGUGAGAUGGCCAAGUUGACCAACUCAUUGUAUGUAUUCACCCUUCUCGGGUUCAAUCUCUCUCUGAGCUCCAGGCUCAAUCCUUUGCGGAACUUAUCUUGCUUCUUCUCAUCUGUGUCCGUAUG